Molecule: ribosomal RNA, 400 nt
Filed under: uncultured bacterium
Lineage: Bacteria
Description: bacterial SSU rRNA
Rfam family: Bacterial small subunit ribosomal RNA
Source: RNAcentral
AUGGGAGUGAAAGGUGCGUAGGNGGNUGAUUAAGUCGGAUGUGAAAUCCCUGAGCUUAACUUAGGAAUUGCAUUCGAUACUGGUCAGCUAGAGUAUGGGAGAGGAUGGUAGAAUUCUAGGUGUAGCGGUGAAAUGCGUAGAGAUCUGGAGGAAUACCGAUGGCGAAGGCAGNCAUCUGGUCUAAUACUGACGCUGAGGUACGAAAGCAUGGGGAGCAAACAGGAUUAGAUACCCUGGUAGUCCAUGCCGUAAACGAUGUCUACUAGCCGUUGGGGGCCUUUGAGGUUUUAGUGGCGCAGCUAACGCGAUAAGUAGACCGCCUGGGGAGUACGGUCGCAAGACUAAAACUCAAAUGAAUUGACGGGGGGCCNCACAANCGGUGGAGCAUGUGGUUUANUUC